AACAGGAAGCAGCUUGCUGCUUUGCUGACGAGUGGCGGACGGGUGAGUAAUGUCUGGGAAACUGCCUGAUGGAGGGGGUAACUACUGGAAACGGUAGCUAAUACCGCAUAACGUCGCAAGCACAAAGAGGGGGACUUAGGGCCUCUUGCCUCGGAUGUCCCAGAUGGGAUUAGCUAGUAGGUGGGGUAACGGCUCACCUAGGCGACGAUCCCUAGCUGGUCUGAGAGGAUGACCAGCAACACUGGAACUGAACACGGUCCAGACUCCACGGGAGGCAGCAGUGGGGAAUAUUGCACAAUGGGCGCAAGCCUGUGCAGCCAUGCNGCGUGUAUGAGAAGGCCUUCGGGUUGUAAAGUACUUUCAGCGGGGAGAAGGGAGUAAAGUUAAUACCUUUGCUCAUUGACGUUACCCGCAGAAGAAGCACCGGCUAACUCCGUGCCAGAGCCGCGUAAUACGGAGGGUGCAAGCGUUAAUCGGAAUUACUGGGCGUAAAGCGCACGCAGGCGGUUUGUUAAGUCAGAUGUGAAAUCCCCGGGCUCAACCUGGGACUGCAUCUGAUACUGGCAACUUGAGUCUCGUAGAGGGGGGUAGAAUUCCAGGUGUAGCGGUGAAAUGCGUAGAGAUCUGGAGGAAUACCGGUGGCGAAGGCGGCCCCCUGGACGAAGACUACGCUCAGGUGCGAAAGCGUGGGGAGCAAACAGGAUUAGAUACCCUGGUAGUCCACGCCGAAACGAUGUCGACUUGGAGGUUGUGCCCUUGAGGCGUGGCUUCCGGANNUAACGCGUUAGUCGACCGCCUGGGGAGUACGGCCGCAAGGUUAAAACUCAAAUGAAUUGACGGGGGCCGCACAGCGGUGGAGCAUGUGGUUUAAUUCGAUGCAACGCGAAGAACCUUACCUGGUCUUGAAUCCACGGAAGUUUUCAGAGAUGAGAAUGUGCCUUCGGGAACCGUGAGACAGGUGCUGCAUCUGUCGUCAGCUCGUGUUGUGAA
This 990-nucleotide ribosomal RNA is filed under the name Escherichia coli. RNAcentral's name for it is "bacterial SSU rRNA". It matches the Rfam family "Bacterial small subunit ribosomal RNA", at positions 65 to 1071 of the family's 1533-position model. The record is from RNAcentral. Lineage: Bacteria; Pseudomonadati; Pseudomonadota; Gammaproteobacteria; Enterobacterales; Enterobacteriaceae.